CUCAAUGUAGCUUAGUCGGCAAAGCAUAGCAUUUGAAAUGCCAUGGUUGUGGGUUUGAUUCCCUGGGGGGG
This is a non-coding RNA of Dallia pectoralis (Alaska blackfish), 71 nucleotides long. The record is from the annotation of a GenBank genome assembly. Lineage: Eukaryota; Metazoa; Chordata; Actinopteri; Esociformes; Umbridae.